Long non-coding RNA from Ictalurus furcatus (blue catfish), 2280 nucleotides. RefSeq lists it as uncharacterized. The record is from RefSeq and is a predicted model, not a curated record. The transcript has 4 exons. Lineage: Eukaryota; Metazoa; Chordata; Actinopteri; Siluriformes; Ictaluridae.
UGAACUAGAAAUAAAACAGAACUAGGAAUAAACCUGAACUAGGAAUAAACCUGAACUAGGAAUAAACCUGAACUAGGAAUAAAUCUGAACUAGAAAUAAAACAGAACUAGGAAUAAACCUGAACUAGGAAUAAACCUGAACUAGGAAUAAACCUGAACUAGGAAUAAAUCUGAACUAGAAAUAAAACAGAACUAGGAAUAAACCAGAACUAGGAAUAAACCAGAACUAGAAAUAAACCUGAACUAGGAAUAAACCAGAACUAGGAAUAAACCUGAACUAGAAAUAAAACAGAACUAGGAAUAAAUCUGAACUAGAAAUAAACCUGAACUAGGAAUAAAACAGAACUAGGAAUAAACCUGAACUAGGAAUAAAUCUGAACUAGGAAUAAACCUGAACUAGGAAUAAAUCUGAACUAGAAAUAAAACAGAACUAGGAAUAAACCAGAACUAGGAAUAAACCAGAACUAGAAAUAAAACAGAACUAGGAAUAAACCAGAACUAGAAAUAAACCUGAACUAGGAAUAAACCAGAACUAGGAAUAAACCAGAACUAGAAAUAAAACAGAACUAGGAAUAAACCAGAACUAGAAAUAAACCUGAACUAGGAAUAAACCUGAACUAGGAAUAAACCAGAACUAGAAAUAAAACAGAACUAGGAAUAAACCAGAACUAGAAAUAAACCUGAACUAGGAAUAAACCAGAACUAGGAAUAAACAAGAACUAGGAAUAAACCUGAACUAGAAAUAAACCUGAACUAGAAAUAAACCUGAACUAGGAAUAAACCUGAACUAGGAAUAAACUAGGAAUAAAAAAGGAAUUAGGAUAAAACAGGAUCUGAAAACUAGGAACAAACUGGAACUGACCUCUAGAAAGAAUGUGAAUUUAAAACUAAAAACCUAAUAAAUAAAUAAAUAAAAUAUUAAAAAAAAAAGAAAGAAAAUGAAAAAAAAAAAAAAAACAAUCUAGGAACUAGGAAUAUACCGCAAUGAGAAAAACAUGAAUAAAUUAGGAUUAACAUGAACAGGAACUGGGAAUGAAAUGUGACUAAAGAAACAUGAAUUUAACUCUAAUCUAGAAACUGGAAAUGAACUGGGAUUAAAACUGAAAAUGAUCUGAAACUGGGAAAUAGGAAUAAAUGUGAAUUUAGGAACUAGGAAUAUCUGAAAUAAACAUGAUACAGUAUAAGUACUACAAAUACACAGGAACUAGGUUUAGUAGAGAAGAGAAGAAUACACACACACACACACACACACACACACACACACACACACCAAUCACAAGAAACCGGUGCUAACAGUGAUCCUAGGCAAAGGUGGAACAGGAAAUGAAGGAAAACAGGAAGUAGUGAGGGGUUUUGUGACAGAAGGUCAGGAGGUUGUCAUGAAGAAUUUAGAGUUUAUCUAAUAUUACUUUUUUUACUUUUUUAGUUUACUGUUUUGUGUGUGUGUGUGUGUGUGUGUGUGUGUGUGUGUUUAAUUUCCUGCUGAUUUACUGGGUCUCGGUCUGGAUUUAAGAUGGCUUCCAUUUGAAUUCUCUUGUUGAACACAACUAUCAGACCAUGAGGGACCUGCUCUUUUCCGUUUCUUUCUGUUGACUGCCAGUUUCUUUCUUCUCCAAAGAAAAGCAUGUGAUGGUUAUCUGAUAAACUCUAACAGCACAGCCAUUACCUCCAACCCAAACACAACCCCAGUUUCAGCUCAGCAUGUGUGUGUGUGUGCGUGUGUGUGUGUGUGUGUGUGUGUGGAUGUGGGGGGUGUGUGAUUUCUCCUGAUUGCUUCUGUGCUGCUUAUAUCAGGCAGGCCACCCCGCUGACACUUCGUCGAUAAAAAGAAAGAGAAAAAGUAUCUCUGCUCUUCAUCAUCACUUGGCCUUCCUCGUAAUGGAACAGGAUUAUGGCGGAUUUACACCAGCUCCACGUUUCUUGUGUGUGUGUGUGUGUGUGUGUGUGUGUGUACGCCAACAACAGCGCGUUCAAGGGUAAAAUUCCUGCAUCCUCGCUCCUCUUAUCCCUGACAGCGAUCCCCCCAGCAGCGCGCCGCCCUGCGAGAGAAGGCCAUGUUUGAUCCCCACCAGUGGGCCGGGUUUUAUUUCCGUUGUGGAGAGAUCGUUUCCAGAAGACGCUCUUCAAGGACGAUCCGUGGAUCGUGACAAAGCGCUGAAGCCAGAGAGGGGCGUUAUCACUCAUGACACCUUAUUAUUAGUGUGUACUUUUUUGCCCUGGUGGUCUAAUAAAGUAGAGACUCUAAAGCUUAAUGCUAAACGCGAAUUGCUCAUGAAGAAGU